GUACUCACUUCGGCAGCAUAUAUACUAAAAUUGGAACAAUACAGAGAUUAGCAUGGCCCCUGCCCAAGGAUGACCCACAAAUUCAUGAAGCAUUCCAUAUUAAA
This 104-nucleotide small nuclear RNA is filed under the name Ovis aries (sheep). The record is from RNAcentral. Lineage: Eukaryota; Metazoa; Chordata; Mammalia; Artiodactyla; Bovidae.